Molecule: RNase MRP RNA, 238 nt
Filed under: Puccinia triticina 1-1 BBBD Race 1
Lineage: Eukaryota; Fungi; Basidiomycota; Pucciniomycetes; Pucciniales; Pucciniaceae
Description: RNase MRP
Rfam family: RNase MRP
About the family: RNase MRP is an enzymatically active ribonucleoprotein with two distinct roles in eukaryotes. In mitochondria it plays a direct role in the initiation of mitochondrial DNA replication.
Source: Rfam by way of RNAcentral
CAAGCAAGCCAAGGACCAUAUGUUUUUUUGUGUUUACACUUUCAGCAUCUAAGCUUAUUAUAUUCAACACAAGGAGAAAGUCCCCGGAAAACAAAAUAUACUUCUGUCCAAUGAUUAAAGAUUAGGGCAGUGGGGUAUUUAGUAAAGCAACUUUGUUUGUUUGUUUUUUUCAUAAUAAAAGUAAUAUGGUCACCCUAUAAUAAUGGGGCAACUUAAUGGGGCUUACUCUGGCUUGUUU